This 1312-nucleotide ribosomal RNA is filed under the name metagenome. RNAcentral's name for it is "bacterial LSU rRNA". It matches the Rfam family "Bacterial large subunit ribosomal RNA", at positions 1631 to 2925 of the family's 2925-position model. The record is from RNAcentral.
UUUUUAGUCACCCGUACCCCAAACCGACUCAGGUGUUCAGGUAGAGAAUACCAAGGAGAUCGAGAGAAUCGUGGUUAAGGAACUCGGCAAAAUGCCCCCGUAACUUCGGGAGAAGGGGGGCCCGCGGUGUGAAGGGACUUGCUCCUGGAGCACCAUACGGCCGCAGAGACCAGUGGGAAGCGACUGUUUACUAAAAACACAGGUCCGUGCCAAGUCGCAAGACGAUGUAUACGGACUGACGCCUCCCCGGUGCUGGAAGGUUAAGAGGAACGGUUAGCCGCAAGGCGAAGCUGAGAAUUUAAGCCCCAGUAAACGGCGGUGGUAACUAUAACCAUCCUAAGGUAGCGAAAUUCCUUGUCGGGUAAGUUCCGACCUGCACGAAUGGCGUAACGACUUCCCAGCUGUCUCAACCGCGAACUCGGCGAAAUUGCACUACGAGUAAAGAUGCUCGUUACGCGCAGAAGGACGGAAAGACCCCGUGACCUUUACUACAGCUUGGUAUUGGUGUUCGGUGUGGCUUGUGUAGGAUAGGUGGGAGACUGUGAAGCUUGGACGCUAGUUCAGGUGGAGUCAUUGUUGAAAUACCACUCUGGUCACUCUGGAUAUCUAACUUCGAACCGUGAUCCGGUUCAGGGACAGUGCCUGGUGGGUAGUUUAACUGGGGCGGUUGCCUCCUAAAAAGUAACGGAGGCGCCCAAAGGUUCCCUCAACCUGGUUGGCAAUCAGGUGGCGAGUGUAAGUGCACAAGGGAGCUUGACUGUGAGACUGACAAGUCGAGCAGGGACGAAAGUCGGGACUAGUGAUCCGGCAGUGGCUUGUGGAAGCGCUGUCGCUCAACGGAUAAAAGGUACCUCGGGGAUAACAGGCUGAUCUUGCCCAAGAGUCCAUAUCGACGGCAUGGUUUGGCACCUCGAUGUCGGCUCGUCGCAUCCUGGGGCUGGAGUAGGUCCCAAGGGUUGGGCUGUUCGCCCAUUAAAGCGGUACGCGAGCUGGGUUUAGAACGUCGUGAGACAGUUCGGUCCCUAUCCUCUGCGCGCGCAGGAAAUUUGAGAAGAUCUAUCCCUAUUACGAGAGGACCGGGAUGGACGAACCUCGGGUGUGUCAGUUGUUCCGCCAGGAGCACCGCUGAUUAGCUACGUUCGGAACGGAUAACCGCUGAAAGCAUCUAAGCGGGAAGCCGGCUUCAAGAUGAGAUUUCCAUGCCCUCGGGCGAGAGGCUCCCAGCUAGACUACUGGGUUGAUAGGCAGGAUGUGGAAGUGCGGACUAAAGACGCAUGGAGCUGACCUGUACUAAUAAGCCGAUAACUUGAUC